Molecule: unclassified non-coding RNA, 395 nt
Filed under: soil metagenome
Description: partial contains 5.8S ribosomal RNA, internal transcribed spacer 2, and large subunit ribosomal RNA
Rfam family: 5.8S ribosomal RNA (bases 1-122)
Source: RNAcentral
GAUGAAGAACGCAGCGAAAUGCGAUACUUGGUGUGAAUUGCAGAAUCCCGUGAACCAUCGAGUCUUUGAACGCAAGUUGCGCCCGAAGCCAUCAGGUUGAGGGCACGUCUGCCUGGGCGUCACAUAUCGUUGCCCAAUGCCUAUUGCAGUGCAAUAGGAAUUUCUAGGGCGAAUGAUGGCUUCCCGUGAGCGUUGUUGCCUCGCGGUUGGUUGAAAAUCGCGUCCUUGGUAGGGUGUGCCAUGGUAGAUGGUGGUCGAGUUAGAACGAUACCGAUCAUGUGCAUGCUCCCCAAAAUAUGGCCUCUAUGACCCACACGCGUCUUUUGACGCUCAUGACGAGACCUCAGGUCAGGCGGGGCUACCCGCUGAAUUUAAGCAUAUCAAUAAGCGGAGGA